UACGGAGGGUGCAAGCGUUAUCCGGAUUUACUGGGUUUAAAGGGUGCGUAGGCGGCUUAAUAAGUCAUUGGUGAAAGCUCGCAGCUCAACUGCGAAACUGCCAUUGAAACUGUUUAGCUUGAAUGUGGUUGAAGUGGGCGGAAUACAACAUGUAGCGGUGAAAUGCUUAGAUAUGUUUUAGAACACCGAUUGCGAAGGCAGCUCACUAAGCCAAUAUUGACGCUGAGGCACGAAAGCGUGGGUAGCAAACAGG
This 253-nucleotide ribosomal RNA is filed under the name uncultured bacterium. Its description in RNAcentral is "partial 16S ribosomal RNA". It matches the Rfam family "Bacterial small subunit ribosomal RNA", at positions 524 to 776 of the family's 1533-position model. The record is from RNAcentral.